AACGAACGCUGGCGGCGUGCCUAACACAUGCAAGUCGAACGAGAAAGGGGCUUCGGCCCUGAGUAAAGUGGCGCACGGGUGAGUAACACGUGGGUAACCUGCCUCUGAGACCGGGAUAACCUGUCGAAAGAUGGGCUAAUACCGGAUAAGACCACGAUUCCCGCGGGAGUCGAGGUCAAAGGUAGCCUCUGCAUGCAAGCUAUCACUUAGAGAUGGGCCUGCGCACCAUUAGCUAGUUGGUAGGGUAACGGCCUACCAAGGCAAAGAUGGUUAGCUGGUCUGAGAGGAUGAUCAGCCACACUGGAACUGAGACACGGUCCAGACUCCUACGGGUGGCAG
Molecule: ribosomal RNA, 339 nt
Filed under: uncultured Pseudomonadota bacterium
Lineage: Bacteria; Pseudomonadati; Pseudomonadota
Description: bacterial SSU rRNA
Rfam family: Bacterial small subunit ribosomal RNA
Source: RNAcentral